UAUGGUUGACCUGGGGUAAGGAUGUAGGGCGAGAUGUAGGCAAAUCCGCAUCUCACGUGCCUGAGAUCUGACGCCGAGCCGAUUCAGGUGAAGUGGGUAAUCCUAUGCUGCCAAGAAAAGCCUCUAGCGAGUGUUAAAGCCGCCCGUACCCCAAACCGACACAGGUGGUCAGGUAGAGAAUACUAAGGCGAUCGAGAUAACUAUGGUUAAGGAACUCGGCAAAAUGCCCCCGUAACUUCGGGAGAAGGGGGGCCCGUUCUGGUGAGGAGAUUUACUCUCCGAGCUGGGAUUGGCCGCAGAGACCAGGCCCAAGCGACUGUUUACUAAAAACACAGGUCCAUGCUAAGUCGCAAGACGCUGUAUAUGGACUGACGCCUGCCCGGUGCUGGAACGUUAAGGGGACGGGUUAGCGACUUCGGUCGCGAAGCUCAGAACUUAAGCGCCAGUAAACGGCGGUGGUAACUAUAACCAUCCUAAGGUAGCGAAAUUCCUUGUCGGGUAAGUUCCGACCUGCACGAAUGGCGUAACGACUUGGGCGCCGUCUCAACCGUAGACUCGGCGAAAUUGCACUACGAGUAAAGAUGCUCGUUACGCGCGGCAGGACGGAAAGACCCCGGGACCUUUACUACAGCUUGGUAUUGGUGGUCGAUUCGAUUUGUGUAGGAUAGGUGGGAGACUGUGAACUUCGGACGCCAGUUCGAAGGGAGUCAUCGUUGAAAUACCACUCUGAUCGUAUUGGCUGUCUAACCUAGAUCCGUAAUCCGGAUCAGGGACAGUGCCUGGUGGGUAGUUUAACUGGGGCGGUUGCCUCCUAAAAUGUAACGGAGGCGCUCAAAGGUUCCCUCAGCCUGGUUGGCAAUCAGGUAUCGAGUGUAAGUGCACAAGGGAGCUUGACUGUGAGACUGACGGGUCGAGCAGGGACGAAAGUCGGAACUAGUGAUCCGACGCUGGCAAGUGGAAGCGGCGUCGCUCAACGGAUAAAAGGUACCCCGGGGAUAACAGGCUGAUCUUGCCCAAGAGUCCAUAUCGACGGCAUGGUUUGGCACCUCGAUGUCGGCUCGUCGCAUCCUGGGGCUGGAGUAGGUCCCAAGGGUUGGGCUGUUCGCCCAUUAAAGCGGCACGCGAGCUGGGUUUAGAACGUCGUGAGACAGUUCGGUCCCUAUCCGCCGCGCGCGUAAGAGUCUUGAGAAGAUCUGUCCCUAGUACGAGAGGACCGGGAUGGACGAACCUCUGGUGUGUCAGUUGUCCUGCCAAGGGCACUGCUGAUUAGCUACGUUCGGAAGAGAUAACCGCUGAAAGCAUCUAAGCGGGAAACUCGCUUCAAGAUGAGGGCUCUCACAGGGUUAACCUGGUAAGGCCCCCAGUAGACCACUGGGUUGAUAGGCCGGAAGUGGAAGUGCGGUAACGCAUGCAGCUGACCGGUACUAAUAGGCCGAGGACUUGACCU
RNAcentral lists this ribosomal RNA (1447 nucleotides) under metagenome. RNAcentral's name for it is "bacterial LSU rRNA". It matches the Rfam family "Bacterial large subunit ribosomal RNA", at positions 1497 to 2925 of the family's 2925-position model. The record is from RNAcentral.